AUUGAACGCUGGCGGCAGGCCUAACACAUGCAAGUCGAGCGGAUGAAGGGAGCUUGCUCCUGGAUUCAGCGGCGGACGGGUGAGUAAUGCCUAGGAAUCUGCCUGGUAGUGGGGGAUAACGUCCGGAAACGGGCGCUAAUACCGCAUACGGCCUGAGGGAGAAAGUGGGGGAUCUUCGGACCUCACGCUAUCAGAUGAGCCUAGGUCGGAUUAGCUAGUUGGUGGGGUAAAGGCCUACCAAGGUGACGAUCCGUAACUGGUCUGAGAGGAUGAUCAGUCACACUGGAACUGAGACACGGUCCAGGCUCCUACGGGCGGCAGCAGUGGGGAAUAUUGGACAAUGGGCGAAAGCCUGAUCCAGCCAUGCCGCGUGUGUGAAGAAGGUCUUCGGAUUGUAAAGCACUUUAAGUUGGGAGGACGGGCAGUAAGUUAAUCCCUUGCUGUUUUGACGUUACCAACAGAAUAAGCACCGGCUAACUUCGUG
Molecule: ribosomal RNA, 484 nt
Filed under: uncultured bacterium
Lineage: Bacteria
Description: partial 16S ribosomal RNA
Rfam family: Bacterial small subunit ribosomal RNA
Source: RNAcentral